Brassica rapa (field mustard) is the source of this 4052-nucleotide long non-coding RNA. RefSeq lists it as uncharacterized. The record is from RefSeq and is a predicted model, not a curated record. Lineage: Eukaryota; Viridiplantae; Streptophyta; Magnoliopsida; Brassicales; Brassicaceae.
CCUAUAAUUUUGGAUCGGUUCAGUUUGUUUUUUUGAUCCGGAUAUAAUUCUCAUGUCGAAAAGAAACUUACGUAAAAGUGUAUAUAUAAAAUCUCAAAUAAACUAAUUUGUAGAUUAUAUAGCUGUUAAAAAUUAUGUUUUUCGAUAUAAUAAAACUUUGUAUUAUAAUAUAAUCCAACAACCCCGCGCUUUUCAAGCGCGGGUCAAAAUCUAGUUUUAGUUUAUACUCACUCUUGAUACAAAUAUAUGAUGUUUCAGGUUGUUCACACGUAUUAAGAGAAAUUAAAUAUUUAUUUUUAUGUAUUACUUUUUGGUGUUUUUUUAGUUAGAAAAUAUUAAAAAAUACUUAUUUGUAUUCAAUAAAAAGAUAAAGUAUUAUAACUAAUUUAUGUAAAAGUUGAUAAAAUUUUAAAAAUGGUCCAAAUUAAAAAAUCAUGCAUGAAAAUUUCAUCACUACAGUAUAUAUAUUAACUUAAGCGAUUUAUUAUAAGAACAGUAUAUGGUUGAAUCUAUAGUAUUGUAUUUUAAAAUAUUAUAUAAUUAUCAAUACAUGUUUGUUAGCACAAUACCUAUAUAAAAAUCGAUACAUGUAUAAUCACUACUAUAUAAAAGAGACUAUUUUAAGAGCUCCUAAACUAUGCCACAUAGAUACAAAUAUUCCUGACCAAUUAAAAUGACAACUCAGCAUAAAGUUUAAGAAAAUCAGUAAAAAGUAAAAGUAAAUCUGUAAAUCGACCAUUCUCCUCCUUAUCGAUUCAGUUUUUCCAGAUUUAGAUCAUACAUACCUUCUCAACUUCUUCUCAAUCUCUACCAGUUAACUUUUUCACUAUUUCAUAUUAACAUUUUCCAAAUCCUUUUCAAUCUCUUAUUUUGGCUCCCCCCCCCCUUCAUUCGUAUCUUCCAAGAAAAUCCAUAGCUCUUGGUUUUAAUUUCGGUGUUAUAGAAUUUUUAUUCCGUUCUGUGUUUUUUUUGGCUACAAAAUCUAUUCUAAUUUGAAAUUGAUCUACACCAGUGAGGAUCAGAGAUGAGUCCGAAAUGAAGGUGAACACGAAACUUAACAAUGAAAGAGUGACCUUAUGAACUUCAGAUUAAGGUUGAUGAUAAGACCGGUUCAAAUCUCCGAUGCUUACUUUAGACCUUUGGGUGUCGCUCCGCUAUGGCUUCUUCAUCUGUCAGUAUGUUCACCGUCUAUAUUCUAUCGCGUAUAUAUUUAUGUAUAUAUAUAGAAAUAUAUAUGUUUAAUCGACAAUUUAGAAACUUUGGGAAAAAAAUUCCUUUCCAAUGAUGUCUUAUGUUUUUGACUGAAUGGGUGAAAGUCAAAGCUAUCAAGGAAAUCCUAACCAUUAUGAACACGUAAGUUCCCUUUCUUUAUUUCUUACAAGUUACAAAUGUUGUUAUGAUCUGUUAUAAACACUAUCGGAGAUAAAAUUGAUUUUUUUCUUUCAGUUCGCAUUUUGAAGGCAUUGAAUAGUACUUUUGAGUUGUUGCGUUACGUGAACUUUUGGUGUCUAAUUGGUUCACUCUUUUAUUGUUGACUAUUGACAUGCAAUUGUUGAUGAAGACUGCUGCUUUGGGACAAAACUGUUAGAGAACGCCUUCGACGACUUUGGUAGCCCAUUACUCUAUUUGAGGAACAGGAAAUGGAGAGAAGAGGUGGGUUGGCUCGGCUUAUGGCUAGGCUUGAUAUUGGCGGCCAGUUGGAUAAACUGAUUUUUUUAAUCUUCAUGUGACUCAAAUAGUUUUCUACUAACUUGUGCGUGCAAAUAUUCAGUUCUUUCAAAAGUUAUUUUGUAAUAUAGUAAUUUACUUAAGAUAGAUAUGCUGGCCACUCCUGGUAGAUACCUAGCUUAUGACGAUCUUGACUUUUUCCUUCCCAUACGUUUGUUGACAAUUUACCUAUCUAUAUUGUGUUGCAGAUAAUUUAUAGUAACAUGUAUUUGUUGCACGAGAUCACUAGGAGACUUCCAGCUAAGACCAAAAAAAGCUCUUAACAAGUUCUCCUCUAUUUGACAUGUGGCGAAGAUAAGCUAUUUACAAAUUAUCCUCUACUUCUUCUGGUAACUAUGAAACUAAUUAGUUUAGAAUUCAGCUUAUACAUUUUGAGGAAGUAUGUCGGAUAUUUUGUAUAUUGUUCUUAGCUUAUCACUAUAUAGCCCUUGCUCUGACCAUUAUAUUUUCACAUAGGAAAACUGUAUUGGAUGAAACUUUGAUUUUUAUUUAUAUAUUUUAUUAUUUAUGUUUAAAUAUUUAGUUUAGUGAGGCCUAUAAACUGUAUAAUUGAUGAACUCAUCCAAACUUUACUAACAAUCUCAUUCAAAAUUAAUAUCUAGAAUUUUUGGAUGGAUUAUAAUUUGCAUUUGAUUACUUAAUCCAGCUCAUGCAAGUCAUCAAAUCAAACUUUUACAUCCAUUGCUAGAACAAUACAAACCAGCUAUUCAAGGAUUUUUUUUCUGGGAGUUACAUCAUGAAUGAUCUUCAUUAUUGUCAGGAACCAAACACAAGGGGCAUAUUUUUGCUCCGUAUACACAAGCGGGUUAUCGACUUCUUCAGCUCUUUGGAUGUAGUGAAGCAGAUCACUUCAAUCACUAUUGAGCAUGGUACUGAAGACAAGUUCAACACAUCUGAUUCUUAGUGCAUACGUGGUUUAGUUUAUAAAUUGUCUUUGAAUUCCUACGACUUUGUCCUUUUUUGUUACAAGGUUCAGACUUCGUCUUCACUUUCUAAACCAAUAAGUGGCUGGAUCUUAAAGCCAUAGCCAAAAAAGUAAAAACAAAAACAUUAUGUAAUAUUCAGUACAACUUAUAACUAGAUGAUUGACCAACCCAAAGAUUAACAUAAUAAAAACAGUUUUGAGUUGAACUUAUUCUUAGUAAUAUUAAAAGAACUAUUUUCCUUGAUUUUUAAGCCUUCCAUGAUUAUAUAAAAAUAAUAUAAUAAACAUAAUUAUAAUGUCAAAUUUAUUGUUAAAAUUUGCUACAUAUAAAACUCUCAGUAGCACAAUAAAACAUAAUAGUUCAUGUACCAAUACUCUACUAUGACAAACUCGAAAACAAUUUAUAGUACCUAAGAAUGAUUCCUUAUAGUAUCCAAACAAUAAAUCUCAUUUAGACGUGUUAUAUAGAACAUUGGUUGUGGCUGUAGAUGCUCUAGAAAGCCAAAAUUUGGUUUAAAGCCAUACAUGUCAACCAAUCAUGUUUUCUUUUUCUUUUAAAAAGCAACAACAAAAAUAUCUCUAAAAAAUAAAAAAGGACUGUAGAAAGCUUUAUUUCUAGAGCAAAAAAUAAUAUUUUACAAAGCUACAACAAAAAUAGUCACAGCAAAUAAAUCUACAGCUACUAUUCUAAAGCAAAAAAAGUAAAAACAACAGCACUUACCAAUCACUCCAUAGUAAACUAUUUACUUAUUUUCUUUCAUUAUUACAGAUAAACGUUUCUUUGUAACAACACUAAGAACUUGCUUCUACUUUGACACCAACAACACUGACAUCAUAAAAAGGAUUUAUGUGGAGUAACAAACUAAGCCCCAUACAUGAAGUCAUCGCUCUACUUUCGGUCCAACGAAGAUAACUUUCAAAAACACUCAAAAUAAAAACAAUAUAUUAUGUUCGUGUAACCAUCAUGUACUAUGAAAAAACAUAUUGUAUGUUUUAUAAAAUCUAUUUCAUAAAUUUUUGGUAUUCGGACAACAAAAUUUCGUUGCAAUAAAACUUUAUAACCAAUUAUCCGCGCGUAGCGCGGACAACGACCUAGUAUAACUAAUAAUAAUAACAUUUAUUACGCAAAUACAAUAGUGCUAGGAUUUUUAAUAUUUGAUUCAAUUUUAUUAUUUGCAAGGUAAAAUUCUAACAUUAUUAUAUUUGCAUAAUAAAUGUUAUUAUUAUUAUUAGUUAGAUCAUAUACAAGUAUAAACUCUAGAAUAAUUAAAUGUUAUUAUUAUUAAUUAGACUAGGGUCGGUGUCUGCGCUUCGCGCGGAUUACAUGUUUAAUAAAAGUCCAGUUCAAUUAAAAUUGAGAGUUGUGAAGUUUCUGAAAGGAUAAGUUAUGUUUUGUUUA